GGAUGGCUCAGUCGGUAGGGCAUGAGGCAGUUGAUCUCAGGGUCGUGGGUUCGAGCUCCACGUUGGGCA
Podarcis lilfordi (Lilford's wall lizard) is the source of this 69-nucleotide non-coding RNA. The record is from the annotation of a GenBank genome assembly. NCBI's taxonomy places the organism in Eukaryota, Metazoa, Chordata, Lepidosauria, Squamata, Lacertidae.